RNAcentral lists this ribosomal RNA (435 nucleotides) under uncultured bacterium. Its description in RNAcentral is "partial 16S ribosomal RNA". It matches the Rfam family "Bacterial small subunit ribosomal RNA", at positions 29 to 507 of the family's 1533-position model. The record is from RNAcentral.
AACGAACGCUGGCGGCAUGCCUAACACAUGCAAGUCGAACGAUUGCCUUCGGGUGAUAGUGGCGCACGGGUGCGUAACGCGUGGGAAUCUGCCCUUAGGAUCGGAAUAACAGCUGGAAACGGCUGCUAAUACCGGAUGAUAUCGCGAGAUCAAAGAUUUAUCGCCUGAGGAUGAGCCCGCGUUGGAUUAGGUAGUUGGUGGGGUAAAGGCCUACCAAGCCGACGAUCCAUAGCUGGUCUGAGAGGAUGAUCAGCCACACUGGGACUGAGACACGGCCCAGACUCCUACGGGAGGCAGCAGUGGGGAAUAUUGGACAAUGGGCGCAAGCCUGAUCCAGCAAUGCCGCGUGAGUGAUGAAGGCCCUAGGGUUGUAAAGCUCUUUUACCCGGGAAGAUAAUGACUGUACCGGGAGAAUAAGCCCCGGCUAACUCCGUG